GGAGGCGGGGUCGCAGAGGGAAGAGAGCGGAUUGGAGCCGGGUCACCUGACCAGGCCUUGAAGUGCGUCCGCGCCAUUUUUGGUACUGGUGCCGUAGCCACGCCUCACUCUUUCUCCAGGAUUCCGGAAAAUAACGUCUCCGCAGUGCCUACAGGCUUUCCUGUUAAGGGGCCGUCUGAUUAGUGCUCGUCUCCACCAAGGUUUACCCCCCUCAUCUGGUAACCCACCAGGAAGUAUCCACCCCCCUCCCACGCACUAGCUUGGCCUUCUUUGUCCCACUGAUUGAAGGUAACAAUAUCCCGUGUUCCGCCAGUCCUUCCUGAGAAACAGGGGAGCGUUCUGAUUGGCCCUGACGUUACUUUUCUACCUAUUCUUGGAGUGAAUUCUGGCUCUGACAGAAGUUGUUGACAUUAUCCUUUUUGGGGCAGGCACCUGAAAGUCAGUUUUACUCUAAAACUCAAAAAAAGUUCUGGCCUUGAACUCAAGGAUCUACGUCGUGAGUGCUGGGAUUAAAGUUGGGUUCAUCACAGAAUUAGGAAGAGUUAUCCUUCAGUAAAAGGUAAGAUUCAAAGCUACUUAUGUAAUUUAAAUUUCAGUCCUCCUAUCCUCACGGUGGCCCUGAUCCUCAUUUCCUGAAAUUCUACCAGUUGAGACUAAGGGUUUAGAUAAUAAACCUUGAUCUGUGAAGCUAUGCCUUGUGGUACUUCCAACAAGUAUGCUGCAAGCCAGGCAUGGUAAACCCAAACCUAUUAUCACCUACUUAAAGAAACCAGGACAAAAGAAUGACAAGUGUAUGACCUACAAUGGCUACAAAGUUUAACAUCAGCCCUGGCACUUAGCAAUACUGUCUAAUGUGGUCUACAAAGUAACACCAGCCUGGGCAUUUAGCAACACUGUCAAAAAUAAAAAGUAAAAAGAAGUUUGGGGAUAUAGCUCAAUGGUUGAAUGCUUGCCUAUUAAGUGUGAGCUCUUAGGUCCAAUCCCAAGCAUAAGAAAAGUAGCUUUGGAUGAAGAUAACUUUGGAUGAGACAAUAUUUUGUAGUUUAAAUGAAAUGAUUCUUCCAAAGAAUGGCUCCAAUAUUCCCAGGGUGAAGCAAGCAAAGAGUCUGUGAACAUAUGUUGUGUAGUGUGCACUACUUUCUCUUUAAUAAUUCAGAUACCCAUAAUCUGUCAACAUUUGGUGAAAAGAUACCAAAGAAUACCUUGUUAAUUAAUUAAGUUCAUGAUCGGAUUUCAGGCAUUCAGACCAGUCUGAACAAUUUGCUGAAUAUUCUCCAGCCUUUACUCAGAUGAGUUAUUUUUGUUAUGGGGAUUUUAUUUUUGCUUCUUAUUGUGGCAAGUAAAAACAUGAAUUUGGGUCAAGCAAGAUUUUCUAGUACACUUCUAGAGAUCUCUUUUUAGCUAAGUUAGUAGAAACUGCAAUGUGAAGUAGUAAAACAGGUCUGAGUUUCUUGCCCUAUGUCAAUAUAAAACAGAGCGCCGUGACCAGGCCCCUUCCUGUUAUUACAGUGUCUUUAUUCUCACCAGGCAUUUUUAAAAUACCAAGCUGUCUACAGCAACAGUAAUUUAGUGGGUUCGUGUUAAUAUAUUCAUGAAGGGUCUUGAUGGAUUUGAUAACCAUAAGCAGCUGUUAACAUUAAAUUGCCAUUUAAUUUUUUUCAGUGACUUUCAAAGUUGUCAAUAUUAAACAGUAGGGCCUUACAAAUUACUACUCUAAGGCCAAUAAGAAUAAAAUCAAAUAUUAUUUUAAAAUCUCAACCAAGUUUUCUUUUUCUCUACAGUAUGCCACUACAGAGAAAACAGAAACACAUGGAGGCAUGUUGAUCUUGGCUAUUAGGCACCCCAUUAUGUAUUUACUCAUAAUUUGCUUUGGAUGUCACUAUACUCAGAAACUCAUAUUUUCCUCUCGCACCCAUUUAACUUUGUUUAUUUUUUGAAUAAGGUCAUUAUACAAUCCAGGCCUAUCUUGAAUUUGCUGAUACUGGUAUUUUAGGUAUGCACAACCAUACCUGGCCAUCUCCAUUUAAUUUUUGAACUCCACCCUUUGCCCCGCCUCCCUUCCAUCACUUCUGUGCCAUUCCCUUUUAGGACACAAGUUUCAUUCUCAGCAACAUGAUUGCAAGACACUCUUACAUAAGUAAUUUGAAUCUCCAUUCUUCCCCUCUGUUUUCUCUUUGUUGGAUGGCUGCUUUAAUGUUCCAGUUGUCUGGAUUUGAGUCUGUACUGGUGACACCUAGCCAGCAUCCACAGUGUGAGGACUGGGCGGGGCAUGUCAGUGGUAUCCCGAAGAACUGGGAGUUCUGCAGUUCUUACUGGCAUGCUUCACCGCCCUCACUCCAUUUGUUCAGCAAUCUAAAGGCAACAGUGUAUAUUGAAAACCAAGGUUCUCCUUGUUUAGGUUCUCUGCCUUGGCCCUACCGCCAGGCUUCCUCACUCAAAUGUCAUCAAUAAGAACAGGAGUGCCCAAGCCUGAUUUCUCUUCUGUCCAUUCAUUUUACAUAUAUGAGCAUUUUUAAUUUUACCUCUUAAACAGAUAUCUUAAUUUUUGCAGAGAAAUUUUUUUUAAAAAGUUUUUAGGCAGUGUUGGCAAAGGCAUUGUUUUUAACUUGCUGGAACAUGAAAAGGGACUUUUUGCAUCAUUCCCAAAUAACAUGCUUUCUCUCACUGUACUUAACUGCUACACAUUAAAUAGAGAUAUUCCUCAUUUCUAUAACUUCAAAUAAACUAUAACUAUGUGUUCACAGAAAAAAUAAUCCAUAGACAUAUGGAACAUUUUCAAGUAAUUAUUUUUCAAAAAGUAGAAAAGCAUGCAGCUUUUCAUAAAAGGACAACUCAGCAUAUAUUUAAGAUAA
Non-coding RNA from Myodes glareolus (Bank vole), 2852 nucleotides. The record is from RefSeq and is a predicted model, not a curated record. NCBI's taxonomy places the organism in Eukaryota, Metazoa, Chordata, Mammalia, Rodentia, Cricetidae.